GUGGGGAAUAUUGGGCAAUGGGCGAAAGCCUGACCCAGCAACGCCGCGUGAAGGAAGAAGGUUUUCGGAUCGUAAACUUCUAUCCUUGGUGAAGAUAAUGACGGUAGCCAAGAAGGAAGCCCCGGCUAACUACGUGCCAGCAGCCGCGGUAAUACGUAGGGGGCAAGCGUUGUCCGGAAUGAUUGGGCGUAAAGGGCGCGUAGGCGGCCUGGUAAGUAUGGAGUGAAAGUCCUGCUUUUAAGGUGGGAAUUGCUUUGGAUACUGUCGGGCUUGAGUGCAGGAGAGGUAAGUGGAAUUCCCGGUGUAGCGGUGAAAUGCGUAGAGAUCGGGAGGAACACCAGUGGCGAAGGCGACUUACUGGACUGUAACUGACGCUGAGGCGCGAAAGUGUGGGGAGCAAACAGGAUUAGAAACCCGAGUAGUCC
This 425-nucleotide ribosomal RNA is filed under the name uncultured bacterium. Its description in RNAcentral is "partial 16S ribosomal RNA". It matches the Rfam family "Bacterial small subunit ribosomal RNA", at positions 354 to 796 of the family's 1533-position model. The record is from RNAcentral.